AACAGAAGAGCUCGAAGUUACAAGGGUCAUAGUCUGUGGUGAAGUUGGAUUCCCAUGCUUGAGGAUAUUUAUUUUUGAUAGUCAGUGUGCUGUGAUGAAUUUGACCUUUGCGGCUGGAGCCAUGCCCUUGGUAGAUGACCUCUUGAUAGUAUUUAACGCAGAAGAAACUGGGUCUCCCGGUACCAGCGGUGAUUUUGAUCUCGGAAUAGAAAAUCUCCUCAGCCUCGUUAAAAUCAGAUGUGUAGUAUGGGGAGACGAGGACGACAGAGUUGAGGCUGCAGAAGCUGCCAUUCGGGAAGCAGCCAACGCACAUCCCAACCGCCCUACUCUACGCUUGGACUGAUAAUGCGUUGCCGGAAUCAAGGGUGCAACGCCAAAGGUUCAUCAUCACUGCAUUUCUAAGAUCGAAACAUUCAUCAUUCUCUGCGAGGAUGGAUCUGCCUCCCUGCACCCUGCUGGGCCGAGCAGAAGAUGUCGUCGAUGUUGUCGUGUCGUGGGAGAACGACACCAAGCACAAGGCGGCCCUUGACGUGAAGCUCAGAACACAAGAGGUCUGGACUCCGAGUCUCGACCUUGCCUAGUUGCCUUCCUGGCGGACCCUUUAGUUGCAAAGUUCAGAUUCAGAGUAUGACGUCAGGAUAUGCUCAUGCUCACCUCUUGCGUGACAGAAUCAUGGUAAAAUAUUGGAAGCUGUACACAUAAUAAACAUGAAAACAAGCACAUGUAACUUGUUAUAUACUCCUACUAACUAACUCUGUGUACUGAUUGUUAGAGUUAAGCACGAAUCCAAGAUUGCACGGCACAUGCAUGUGUGCCCUAGUUUGGUUAGUAUUGCAAACCGAGUAGGAUUAGCAGUACUACACGGAGUAGGAUUAGCAGUAGGCUAUGCUUAGCAUAUAUAUAUGCGUCUACCCCCAGCCCUUGUAACACCGAUCAGUUGAAAGCAAUAAGGAAAACCAAGGCACGUCAAGAGCCUUUGGCAGUACACCGAUUCGUUUGUGUUCGCUGAGUUCCGCUGAGUUGCUCCGUCGUAAUCGAUUCGAUCCGAUCGACUAGAGCUAGCUAGCAAGCCUGGUUCACGUAGCGGUUACACGGGCAACGUAUUGCUCCUGUGAAUCAAUUAACCUGCUUGCCUGCUUGCUUCGAGCCAGCUUUACACACGUACCUGUAUUACCUUCGGUCGCGAUUUGAUCUACAGUUCAAAAGCCAACACUGAUCUUUGUCCAGAUUGCAGGAUAAAACGGAGAAAAUUGCAGAGUGGGCAAAUAAGACGUGGUGGAAGGAGCCAGGUUCCGGGAGAGGUGAGGGCUGCCGCGGAGGAAAGCCGGCGGGAGGAGAUUACCAGGUUCUGGGAGACAGCUGCGAGGCACAGGUCCAAAGAGACCAUGCCCACGGAAAAAAUUGGUCGGCUACUUCGGCUGAACAGCCAACACGCACAUAGAUUAUGGCCUGAAUAAUCACGGUGAUUUUGAGGACUUGCUCUAGCUAGAAGAUGUGCAUGCUCUUGAUUUAUUGGUUUUCAACAUUGGUCAUAGGCUUCGAUGAUGUAUGUAUUAUAUUUGGGAGAGUGAAUUCAUAUUUCUACCACUA
Molecule: long non-coding RNA, 1590 nt
Organism: Triticum aestivum (bread wheat)
Lineage: Eukaryota; Viridiplantae; Streptophyta; Magnoliopsida; Poales; Poaceae
Exons: 3
Source: RefSeq, a predicted model, not a curated record